CCGCGGUUAAGCGUGCUUGGG
This 21-nucleotide non-coding RNA is filed under the name Arabidopsis thaliana (thale cress). Lineage: Eukaryota; Viridiplantae; Streptophyta; Magnoliopsida; Brassicales; Brassicaceae. The record is from RNAcentral.